Molecule: ribosomal RNA, 501 nt
Filed under: uncultured bacterium
Lineage: Bacteria
Description: partial 16S ribosomal RNA
Rfam family: Bacterial small subunit ribosomal RNA
Source: RNAcentral
AUUGAACGCUGGCGGCAGGCUUAGCACAUGCAAGUCGAGCGGAGAUGAGGUGCUUGCACCUUAUCUUAGCGGCGGACGGGUGAGUAAUGCUUAGGAAUCUGCCUAUUAGUGGGGGACAACAUUCCGAAAGGAAUGCUAAUACCGCAUACGCCCUACGGGGGAAAGCAGGGGAUCUUCGGACCUUGCGCUAAUAGAUGAGCCUAAGGCGGAUUAGCUAGUUGGUGGGGUAAAGGCCUACCAAGGCGACGAUCUGUAGCGGGUCUGAGAGGAUGAUCCGCCACACUGGGACUGAGACACGGCCCAGACUCCUACGGGAGGCAGCAGUGGGGAAUAUUGGACAAUGGGCGGAAGCCUGAUCCAGCCAUGCCGCGUGUGUGAAGAAGGCCUUUUGGUUGUAAAGCACUUUAAGCGAGGAGGAGGCUACCUGGAUUAAUACUCUAGGAUAGUGGACGUUACUCGCAGAAUAAGCACCGGCUAACUCUGUGCCAGCAGCCGCAGUAA